Molecule: ribosomal RNA, 162 nt
Filed under: Cassytha filiformis
Lineage: Eukaryota; Viridiplantae; Streptophyta; Magnoliopsida; Laurales; Lauraceae
Description: 5.8S ribosomal RNA
Rfam family: 5.8S ribosomal RNA
About the family: 5.8S ribosomal RNA (5.8S rRNA) is a component of the large subunit of the eukaryotic ribosome. It is transcribed by RNA polymerase I as part of the 45S precursor that also contains 18S and 28S rRNA.
Source: RNAcentral
GACGACUCUCGGCAACGGAUAUCUAGGCUCUCGCAUCGAUGAAGAACGUAGCGAAAUGCGAUACUUGGUGUGAAUUGCAGAAUCCCGUGAACCAUCGAGUCUUUGAACGCAAGUUGCGCCCGAGGCCAUUCGGCCGAGGGCACGUCUGCCUGGGCGUCGCGC